RNAcentral lists this long non-coding RNA (686 nucleotides) under Thrips palmi. RNAcentral describes it as "uncharacterized LOC117646799". The record is from RNAcentral. Lineage: Eukaryota; Metazoa; Arthropoda; Insecta; Thysanoptera; Thripidae.
CCUGCGGCCAUGUAGUUCCGAGUGUGUCCGCUAGAGCGCGCCUCGGGCCCACGCGAUGCUCACCUGUUGUGCAGAUGACAGUCGGCGCACUUUGGCGCGCACUGUGCUUGUGGCGUCGGAUCCUUACUUCUAUUUAUUUUUCUGUUAACUAUAGUAAAUUCAUUUCUCCAAAGAAAAGAAACCACGCACGAAGAUGUUCAGUUCUCAGGUGCACCAAUAAGAAGAAUACUUCAAAGCCUGGUGCAGGCUUAUUUCGUGUUUCAAUCCAAAUCAGAAAGUGCCGGUGCUCUUUGCGGAAACCUUGACCCACUGGAGUUGCCCAAGAUUCUGGAACGAUAACCUGCACCACUAUGCAAUUACAUGUGGAACAAGAACUAACUGACUCCUGUGCUUCAGUGUCAAAUUAAGUGAAUUUCCUGCGACAGAGCAAAGUAAGCAUGACACCUUGGAAUCAGUGCUAAUUGAAUUUCUUUCAGUCAUUUUGGCUUAUUUUUUAAUCAAGGGGUGUUACAGUUAUGGUUGCUGUAUUUUCUUUUCAGUCCAACUGAGAUUCCUCUUUUAAAUAUUUUGUUUUUGAGUCCUGUCCACCAUUUUUGUCUCCAUAUUUUCUGUUGUUCGUGACAAGUCCUAUCGUUUGAUUUUUAAUUUAAAAAGGUCAGUGAAUAAAUACAUUUUUCCUAACAGUU